AGUGAUCCACCUGCCUCCACCUCCCAAAGUGUUGGGAUUACAGGCGUGAGCCACCGCGCCUGGCCAGAAAUUCACUGUUUUUAACGGAUUACUUUGCAGGCCACAUAGUACACAUCUACAGCUGGACCUGAGUCCAGGAACAAAACCAACAGCCCACAGCAGGAAGGGCGGCAAGGAGGGGCUCCUGAGGCCACAGCCCCCGCUGCUGCCGGCGGACAUCUUCACCCCCUAGGACUCCUGUGUCCCCUUGGUACCGGCUCUGGGGGUGAUGGUCACAAACAGGCACAUCUGCUCCCAAACCAUGGUGCAGAAGGGCUCCAGUGCUGGGUCUGAAGAGGAACCGGGAUUUCGUGCAGAAGCAGGUGAGCAGAGAGGAGGAGAAGGCUGGGUCACACCUCCCGGGCUCUUUCCAGAACUAUCCUGGGAGCUCAUGGCCAGAGAUCUGACUGGGAGGGUCUUGACCUUGGUAAGGGUCUUGAGUAACCUGAUUAGCAGCUUCCUGGGAACAGCAGACACCUGAUCACUGCCUGGGAAAACAUUUAAUUAUUAACUCCCGGGGAGAGCCACCAGGCAAGGCAGAAGGCGCAAGUCCCAUCUGCAUUUCAGACAAACAACAAAGACACUUUACUGCAUGUCCCAAAUAAUUGCGUGGGACAUUCUUAUACUAAAAAACUCUCUGCUGUUCAUCUGAAAUUCAGGCAGAACUGGAUGCGCUGCGUUUUAUCUGGCAACACCAUGGGAGAGCCAGGGGGGCUGGGCUGAGUUCUCUAACCCCGUGAGGACCAGCACGCCGGGAGGCUCCGCAGAGAGAAUGAAAGCAAAGCCGAAGACGCAAUCUGAAAUCCUGGCUUCCCCAGGAAAAGCCAGUGCCAGAUCAGAGGAGGGGAAGAGUAGCUACUAACGAGGAGAAAAGAAAAUCAUCACAGUCAAAGCAAGUUCAACAAAAACAGCAUUUUGCUGCUAACUUGCUCCAAGAAAACCUAAAAUCUUCAACUGGCUCAUUCGUCCUCCAGUACCUCUGAUGAAAAGGUAGACAGACUUUUCCACUAAUUAUUUCAGCCACUGUGAAAAUAUGAAAGCUGACCUGGGAGAGAAGAUACAUAAUAAAAACAAACAAAAAACCUCACGGCCAGCGCUGACUUUGUCAAGAAGAGGGACUCUGGACACACAAGGGGCACCUGGGGGUGCAUGCGCACAGAGGGAUGAUCACAGGAAGACACAGCAAGAAGGCAGCCACGUGCACGCCAGGGAGCGAGACCUCAGGAGGACCCAGCCCUGCCACACCUUGAUCUUGGACAAACAGCCUCCAGGACUGUGAGACCAUCAAUGUCUGUCGUCUAGACUGCCAGUUCUGUGGUGCUCUGUGAUGGCAGCCUGAGCUGACUCCUCCAGUCCCCAGGACCCUCCUGAUAGGUUUGUGAAACAGAUGCAUGGAACAAACAGAUUUCUGAAAAGAACCUCCAUCUAUCCAGGUUUCCUGGGAUUUCCCUAAUCACCAUCAAACAAACACUCUGUUACCAGCCCUGCUGGCAUCUCUGGAUGAACUCAAGAAACGGGAUCCUGCCUCUGAGUUUCCGCCCUCCACUGGUGUCACCGUCUCCUGUCCUGAGUUUCUCUCCCCGUUCAGCCAAAUCCUUCCCUUUCAGACUCGCUCUACCCCAGGUCAGAACCAACUGCCUAUGGUACACAAGCUCCCCUUCCUCUCACCUCAGAGGGCCUGGAGUCCACGCCUAAUUCCACAUCUAAUUCCUUCCUAAGCUGUGCCUCCUGACUCCAGCUCUGAGAACUAAUUCCAUUACACAUACACCCUCCAACCCUCCUCUGGACACAUACAUUUGUGAAAUGUAACUGGAUAGAACAAAAACACACAGGUCAUUUUGCUGCUGAAUUUUUAAGAGGGCUUUAUAUGGCAGUGUCUCAGAGAAAGGGGUAAACGCAGCAUUUCCCAAGUGCACUUGCCCCAGACAUUCUUUUCCCCUGGGGCUCAUAAACAAUCUCCCACAACAGGAAGAGAAGCUAUGGUCUGAGUUGCCCAUAGUCCCUUCCUUGCUACACUCAAGAUCUUAGAAGCAAAAGCCAAUCACAUACCUACAAUGCAUGGCCCACUGAGGCCAGCACCCUGCCAAGUAUUAUCGCCUGAAAGAGGGAUAGCAUUAGGAGAUAUACCUAAUGUAAAUGACGAGUUAA
Molecule: long non-coding RNA, 2187 nt
Filed under: Homo sapiens (human)
Lineage: Eukaryota; Metazoa; Chordata; Mammalia; Primates; Hominidae
Description: HSALNT0177815
Source: RNAcentral